UACGUAGGGUGCGAGCGUUGUCCGGAAUUACUGGGCGUAAAGAGCUCGUAGGUGGUUUGUCGCGUUGUUCGUGAAAACUCACAGCUUAACUGUGGGCGUGCGGGCGAUACGGGCAGACUGGAGUACUGCAGGGGAGACUGGAAUUCCUGGUGUAGCGGUGAAAUGCGCAGAUAUCAGGAGGAACACCGGUGGCGAAGGCGGGUCUCUGGGCCGAUAUUGACGCUGAGGAGCGAAAGCGUGGGGAGCGAACAGG
Molecule: ribosomal RNA, 253 nt
Filed under: uncultured bacterium
Lineage: Bacteria
Description: partial 16S ribosomal RNA
Rfam family: Bacterial small subunit ribosomal RNA
Source: RNAcentral